AGAACGAACGCUGGCGGCGCGCUUAACACAUGCAAGUCGCACGCCCCUUUCGGGGGGAGUGGCGCACGGGUGAGUAACGCGUGGGAACCUGCCCUGGGGUUCGGGACAACCGCGGGAAACUGCGGCUAAUACCGGAUACGACCAUUGGUGAAAGGGGGUAACCCCGUCCUGGGAUGGGCCCGCGUCCGAUUAGCUUGUUGGUGGGGUAAUGGCCUACCAAGGCUUCGAUCGGUAGCCGGUCUGAGAGGAUGAUCGGCCACACUGGGACUGAGACACGGCCCAGACUCCUACGGGAGGCAGCAGUGGGGAAUCUUGGACAAUGGGCGCAAGCCUGAUCCAGCGACGCCGCGUGGGUGACGAAGGCCUUCGGGUUGUAAAGCCUUUUCCCGGGGACGAUGAUGACGGUACCCGGGGAAUAAGCACCGGCUAACUCCGUGCCAGCAGCCGC
RNAcentral lists this ribosomal RNA (448 nucleotides) under uncultured bacterium. RNAcentral describes it as "SSU rRNA". It matches the Rfam family "Bacterial small subunit ribosomal RNA", at positions 26 to 518 of the family's 1533-position model. The record is from RNAcentral.